RNAcentral lists this ribosomal RNA (497 nucleotides) under uncultured bacterium. RNAcentral describes it as "partial 16S ribosomal RNA". It matches the Rfam family "Bacterial small subunit ribosomal RNA", at positions 28 to 507 of the family's 1533-position model. The record is from RNAcentral.
GAUGAACGCUGGCGGCGUGCCUAAUACAUGCAAGUCGAGCGAACGGACGAGAAGCUUGCUUCUCUGAUGUUAGCGGCGGACGGGUGAGUAACACGUGGAUAACCUACCUAUAAGACUGGGAUAACUUCGGGAAACCGUAGCUAAUACCGGAUAAUAUUUUGAACCGCAUGGUUCAAGAGUGAAAGACGGUCUUGCUGUCACUUAUAGAUGGAUCCGCGCUGCAUUAGCUAGUUGGUAAGGUAACGGCUUACCAAGGCAACGAUGCAUAGCCGACCUGAGAGGGUGAUCGGCCACACUGGAACUGAGACACGGUCCAGACUCCUACGGGAGGCAGCAGUAGGGCAUCUUCCGCCAUGGGCGAAAGCCGGACGGAGCAACGCCGCGUGAGUGAUGAAGGUCUUCGGAUCGUAAAACUCUGUUAUUAGGGAAGAACAUAUGUGUAAGGAACUGUGCACAUCGUGACGGUACCUAAUCAGAAAGCCACGGCUAACUACGUG